GGCGAACGGGUGAGUAACACGUGGGUAAUCUGCCCUGCACUCUGGGAUAAGCCUGGGAAACUGGGUCUAAUACUGGAUAUGACCUUUCUCCUUAUGGGGUUUGGUGGAAAGUUUUCGGUGUAGGAUGAACCCGCGGCCUAUCAGCUUGUUGGUGGGGUGAUGGCCUACCAAGGCGACGACGGGUAGCCGGCCUGAGAGGGUGAUCGGCCACAUUGGGACUGAGAUACGGCCCAG
RNAcentral lists this ribosomal RNA (234 nucleotides) under uncultured Actinomycetales bacterium. Its description in RNAcentral is "partial 16S ribosomal RNA". It matches the Rfam family "Bacterial small subunit ribosomal RNA", at positions 97 to 334 of the family's 1533-position model. The record is from RNAcentral. Lineage: Bacteria; Bacillati; Actinomycetota; Actinomycetes; Actinomycetales.